RNAcentral lists this ribosomal RNA (622 nucleotides) under uncultured Actinomycetes bacterium. Its description in RNAcentral is "bacterial SSU rRNA". It matches the Rfam family "Bacterial small subunit ribosomal RNA", at positions 556 to 1177 of the family's 1533-position model. Lineage: Bacteria; Bacillati; Actinomycetota; Actinomycetes. The record is from RNAcentral.
GGGCGUAAAGAGCUCGUAGGUGGUUUGUCGCGUUGUUCGUGAAAUCUCACAACUCAAUUGUGAGCGUGCGGGCGAUACGGGCAGACUGGAGUACUGCAGGGGAGACUGGAAUUCCUGGUGUGGCGGUGGAAUGCGCAGAUAUCAGGAGGAACACCGGUGGCGAAGGCGGGUCUCUGGGCAGUAACUGACGCUGAGGAGCGAAAGCGUGGGGAGCGAACAGGAUUAGAUACCCUGGUAGUCCACGCCGUAAACGGUGGGUACUAGGUGUGGGUUUCCUUCCUUGGGAUCCGUGCCGUAGCUAACGCAUUAAGUACCCCGCCUGGGGAGUACGGCCGCAAGGCUAAAACUCAAAGAAAUUGACGGGGGCCCGCACAAGCGGCGGAGCAUGUGGAUUAAUUCGAUGCAACGCGAAGAACCUUACCUGGGUUUGACAUGCACAGGACGACGGCAGAGAUGUCGUUUCCCUUGUGGCCUGUGUGCAGGUGGUGCAUGGCUGUCGUCAGCUCGUGUCGUGAGAUGUUGGGUUAAGUCCCGCAACGAGCGCAACCCUUGUCUCAUGUUGCCAGCGGGUAAUGCCGGGGACUCGUGAGAGACUGCCGGGGUCAACUCGGAGGAAGGUAAU